UACGUAGGGGGCAAGCGUUGUCCGGAAUCAUUGGGCGUAAAGCGCGUGUAGGCGGCUCGACGAGUCCGCUGUGAAAGUCCAGGGCUCAACCCUGGGAUGCCGGUGGAUACUGUCGAGCUUGAGUCCGGAAGAGGCGAGUGGAAUUCCUGGUGUAGCGGUGAAAUGCGCAGAUAUCAGGAGGAACACCAAUGGCGAAGGCAGCUCGCUGGGACGUGACUGACGCUGAGACGCGAAAGCGUGGGGAGCAAACAGG
This 253-nucleotide ribosomal RNA is filed under the name uncultured bacterium. RNAcentral's name for it is "partial 16S ribosomal RNA". It matches the Rfam family "Bacterial small subunit ribosomal RNA", at positions 524 to 776 of the family's 1533-position model. The record is from RNAcentral.